ACGUACAUGUCAAUAAUUUCUGUUUUGCACUUGUAUGUUUAGAAAUAAACCUCUAGGUGCACAUUUCGAUUCUUCUACGUCAUAUAGUUCUUGCUGGAUUUGGUUGGGUAAAAUGAAAUUUUGAAAGUGAAUUAGAUCUUUUCCUAUGUAGGGUGAAUUUGGUAUAGUAUAAGCAAAAUCCAAAAGUUAAUUAAGAAGACGAGGAACCAAAAUACCUACGUUGGCCACCCUUCGUUUUCCUCGCAUUAAUAAGGUAACAAUAUGUUGGUUUCAAGGGUGCUAGCAAAAGUGUUGCUUGUUCUCCGGCUGCCGAAGUUGGGGAAAUGUGAUAUAGAUGCAGCUUUUCAAGAGUAAUAUGCCUUAUUGUGUUGAGGUAAUUUGGUUGGCAAAACCUUUCUAUUUUAUGCCUUUUAGGGUUAAUGGAGUCCAAAUGGAAUAACAAGAACUAUUGACAAAAAAAGAGAAUACUUUAGUUGUCCCAAAGGGAGUGUAUUGCUAUAAAAAGCAUUGGAGGCGUAUACGCGAGAUACUUUCUUCUUUGCAUCAGUUAAUUCUCUCUAUGAGAUCUUAUUAAAUGUAUUGUGAAUGGUUCUUAGAGGCCAAAAUAGUUGUCAAACUCAUCAGGAAAAAACAUGGAUAUGUCCUCUGAGAAAUUCUUUAUAGUUGGGAAAAUGUUAAUUUUUUUUUCCUUGGACCCUCACCUAUUCAAGUAAGUUUUUGAUUUUCGUACAAGGGAAAUAUACAGGAAGUCUGAUUCUCCUAGCCUAAUAGAUUUAAAUAAUUUGGUCAAAUCUUCGUCUCCUCAACUUGUGCAACAGCCCGUCUCAACUAGAAUAUAUUGAUGUAAGCAAAGAAUUGGAAGGUGGAAAAAGUAAGAGGGUUUGUUAUUCAGUAUUGAUGAAAGCAGUAGCUAAUUUUCAUCAGUUUACUUGUUUAUCUUAAAUAUUUACUCUCUUUGUUUUUUAGCAGAACGGUCAAAGAAUGAAUCACAUCAAAUCUUGGUUGUUUACUUCAUGACGGCUAGAUUACAACAAGCAACAUCAGCUAUAGUGCUCAAGAUGUAAAAUUCCUUUCUGGUGAUGUUCUGUUUGCCCUUUCAGGUACCAAACGAUCAUGUCAUUGCUUCUACUCCCUCAGUUAAGUUCUUGGUUAGUUAAAAAGACGAUGGUAUGUUGAAAAUUCAGAGACAGAAGUUCAAGUGCGAGCAGUGUUGACCGACUUAUGCCGUAUUCAAAGAUUUCAAAAUAGGGAAGUGUAAUCCACCGGAACUUACUUUGUUCUCCUGAUAUGGUUCAUUCACCUUUUCCUCGAAGUUAAGAUCUAAAAUUCUCCGACUGAUAAAAAGAACAACUAAUAUUCUCCUUAAGAAAGUUAAAUCAGAACAGAAUUAGUAUAAAGGAAUGAAAAAGAGUUUCGCUUUUCUUUACCUAAAAGACAAAAAGAUUGUUUUUCUUUUCAGAAUGAAACGAAAAACAACUUCCAAAGCAGAUGUUUUCAUUAGGCAUCAACCUAGAUAUAUAUUCAGAAAGCUCUUCCAUUUAUUCGCACCUGUAAACCAACUCAUCAGAGUCCAAAAUAAUUUGUGUAAGAAACAAGAUACUCUGAUAAUGUCAUUUGCUUAGCAUAUCCAGCAGCUUCGAACAAAUUGUGUCAUGAUCAUCAACGAAAAAAACCCUCAUAAUAACUGGAGAAUUGUCAUACUCCCUCUGUUUCAAUUUAUGUGAACCUAUUACUAUUUGGGGAGUCUACGCGGUGGUACUUUGACCACAUUUUUCUUACAUUAUUUCUAAAUUAUUUGAAUUAUAAAUUAUCUUGAUUUAUAGUACUUUUAACGUAGUUUCUAAAUAUAUAAAUUUUAUUUUUACAACCCAUAAUUCCUCUGGUUUCUUCCACAGUCAUGUGUGAAGCCACAAAACCAAAAAGACCAACAAGAGAAAAAGAUCACCCAAACAGAAUUCCCGAAACUAUGAAAGAUGCAUGUAAAAACAAGUAAAUCUCCAUUACACAUCCGUAAAAAGAGA
This is a long non-coding RNA of Lycium ferocissimum, 2021 nucleotides long. RefSeq lists it as uncharacterized. The transcript is spliced from 3 exons. The record is from RefSeq and is a predicted model, not a curated record. Lineage: Eukaryota; Viridiplantae; Streptophyta; Magnoliopsida; Solanales; Solanaceae.